GAUGAACGCUGGCGGCGUGCCUAAUACAUGCAAGUCGAACGAAACUUCUUUAUCACCGAGUGCUUGCACUCACCGAUAAAGAGUUGAGUGGCGAACGGGUGAGUAACACGUGGGCAACCUGCCCAAAAGAGGGGGAUAACACUUGGAAGCAGGUGCUAAUACCGCAUAACCAUAGUUACCGCAUGGUAACUAUGUAAAAGGUGGCUAUACUACCGCUUUUGGAUGGGCCCGCGGCGCAUUAGCUAGUUGGUAGGGUAAAGGCUUACCAAGGCAAUGAUGCGUAGCCGAAUUGAGAGGGUGAUCGGCCACAUUGGAACUGAGACACGGCCCAAACUCCUACGGGAGGCAGCAGUAGGGAAUCUUCCACAAUGGGCGAAAGCCUGAUGGAGCAACGCCGCGUGGGUGAAGAAGGUCUUCGGAUCGUAAAACCCUGUUGUUAGAGAAGAAAGUGCGUGAGAGUAACUGUUCACGUUUCGACGGUAUCUAACCGGAAAGCCACGGCUAACUACGUG
This 512-nucleotide ribosomal RNA is filed under the name uncultured bacterium. RNAcentral's name for it is "partial 16S ribosomal RNA". It matches the Rfam family "Bacterial small subunit ribosomal RNA", at positions 28 to 507 of the family's 1533-position model. The record is from RNAcentral.